Molecule: long non-coding RNA, 421 nt
Organism: Rhinolophus ferrumequinum (greater horseshoe bat)
Lineage: Eukaryota; Metazoa; Chordata; Mammalia; Chiroptera; Rhinolophidae
Exons: 3
Source: RefSeq, a predicted model, not a curated record
UGGGUGAGAACACAAAUAGAAUUCCAGAUAAUUCAGAACAAAUACUACAAAUCAGAGACUAGCCCAAAACCUCUUUUUAAUCUCCCACUUUUGAAAGACAACUAAGGAGGACCAAGGACAUUUGGCAACUCCACACUAAUAGUUACUGGGUGCCUUUUGUCUUUCUUCUCUUGAUCGCAAGUUCAAUUUGUCUGCAGUAAAAAAUUUUCUCUAUGGCAUAUAUCAUUUCAUCUCCAACAUGAAAUGCUCAAGAAGAGACUGAGGCAGAGCAAGGAUUCUAGAGUCCAUUGGCUUUAACCAAAGAAAUAGAGAUGCCUGAGUCUCCAGCAGAGAUUGAAACCGAGAAGCACUAGACCAAGAAUCUAAUAGGUUCACAAAUGUAGCGGUACUGUGUCUCAGGAUGGAUGACACCUAAGGCCUG